GAUGAACGCUGGCGGCGUGCCUAAUACAUGCAAGUCGAGCGAACAGACGAGGAGCUUGCUCCUCUGACGUUAGCGGCGGACGGGUGAGUAACACGUGGAUAACCUACCUAUAAGACUGGGAUAACUUCGGGAAACCGGAGCUAAUACCGGAUAAUAUAUUGAACCGCAUGGUUCAAUAGUUAAAGUCGGUUUUGCUGUCCCUUAUAGAUGGAUCCGCGCCGCAUUAGCUAGUUGGUAAGGUAACGGCUUACCAAGGCAACGAUGCGUAGCCGACCUGAGAGGGGGAUCGGACACACUGGAACUGAGACACGGUCCAGACUCCUACGGGAGGCAGCAGUAGGGAAUCUUCCGCAAUGGGCGAAAGCCUGACGGAGCAACGCCGCGUGAGUGAUGAAGGUCUUCGGAUCGUAAAACUCUGUUAUUAGGGAAGAACAAAUGUGUAAGUAACUAUGCACGUCUUGACGGUACCUAAUCAGAAAGCCACGGCUAACUACGUG
This 497-nucleotide ribosomal RNA is filed under the name uncultured bacterium. RNAcentral's name for it is "partial 16S ribosomal RNA". It matches the Rfam family "Bacterial small subunit ribosomal RNA", at positions 28 to 507 of the family's 1533-position model. The record is from RNAcentral.